AUCGCUUCUCGGCCUUUGGCUAAGAUCAAGUGUAGUAUCUGUUCUUAUCAGUUUAAUAUUCGAUACGUCCCUAUCCGAGGACAAUAUAUUAAAUGGAUUUUUGAGCAGGGAGAUGGAAUAGGAGCUUGCUCCGUCCACUCCACGCAUCGACCUGGUAUUGCAGUACCUCCAGGAACGGUGCACCUGGC
This 188-nucleotide small nuclear RNA is filed under the name Macaca fascicularis (crab-eating macaque). RNAcentral describes it as "U2 spliceosomal RNA (ENSMFAG00000049032.1)". It matches the Rfam family "U2 spliceosomal RNA". From Rfam's summary of the family: U2 is a small nuclear RNA (snRNA) component of the spliceosome (involved in pre-mRNA splicing). Complementary binding between U2 snRNA (in an area lying towards the 5' end but 3' to hairpin I) and the branchpoint sequence (BPS) of the intron results the bulging out of an unpaired adenosine, on the BPS, which initiates a nucleophilic attack at the intronic 5' splice site, thus starting the first of two transesterification reactions that mediate splicing. The record is from Rfam by way of RNAcentral. Lineage: Eukaryota; Metazoa; Chordata; Mammalia; Primates; Cercopithecidae.